This 30-nucleotide small RNA is filed under the name Bombyx mori (domestic silkworm). RNAcentral's name for it is "piRNA piR-bmo-1411454". The record is from RNAcentral. Lineage: Eukaryota; Metazoa; Arthropoda; Insecta; Lepidoptera; Bombycidae.
UCAUCGUCAUCGUAAGCCGGUGGUUGGCCU